Molecule: long non-coding RNA, 2354 nt
Filed under: Hordeum vulgare
Lineage: Eukaryota; Viridiplantae; Streptophyta; Magnoliopsida; Poales; Poaceae
Description: long non-coding RNA (HVUL_LNC017449)
Source: RNAcentral
UAGUACGCAACUUUUUUAAGAAAUCCAACAACACCAAAGACGCAUCAAAGCUCUCCCAAACCUUCUAGUCUAUCAUGAAUUCGGAUCAUUAAGGAACACCAUGCAUUAAUUGUUCAGUACUGUGAAGGAGCUUUUGGAGCAGAAACACGGUCAAUAUAGGGGAGGAUUGUUUUGCACUUCUACAGAACGAGACAAGCAAUCUGUGCAAGUUUUUAAUUAUACAUACUAACUUAAUUUGAUCGUUUCAAGUGCAACAAAUAUCACUACCCAAAUGGUAUGUCCAUUUGGCAACUCAAGUGCAACUAGCCUAUGUGCACUAGAGUACUAUGUGAUCAUCACAGAAAGGAGAAACUAGCCUAUGUGCACUAGUGCACUAGAGUCCAUUUGGCAACUCAAUUGCUAUUCUUUUAAUGAUCUUUUUCUGCCAAAAAAAUUGACAUGAUUUAUUUCUGUUAGUGGAAUUGGGGUUUACCCUUGCUAUAGAAAAUAAAAGGGUUGCUGAAUAUUCAAUCAUUUCCCUUGAUAUUAAUACCUGGCAUCAUAAAUCAGACAAUAUGAAACUGGAAUUGAAUUGUCAAUCUGCAUGUGUUCUUCAAACCACUCCAUCACCUAUACGCAAUGCAUCUUAUCAAAUGUCCAUCCUACAAUCACAUGUCUAUACAACACUUGCUCCCUAUAUAAUUGCCCCUCUUCACUUCAACAACAUAAAACCACAUCCAUGCUUAACACAUCCACAUAACUCUAACAUAUGGACAUUUUUGUAUAAUAAAAGGUUACAUAAAACAUGGAAGAUGAUCGUAGACAUAGAAUCUAGAUGGUAUCAGUAAACACAUAUGAUAAGGGGGGCCACAGAAAGAAACAAAUUCGAUUUUGGUGUCCAGAACAUGUAGUAGGAGUCGUGCCCAUUGCCACACUGUGCUACUCCCAUCUAUGCUUGUACCUUGGAGAACAAAGUGGUAUGUUUCACGUUCAUUAUGUCAAGCUACAUCUUUAGCAUAUUGGCACACGAAUAGAGGUUGCAGCAUGCAAGCAACUACUAGGAGGCUAUAAACAACCUACAUGACUUGACCAUGAAGGAGCAUACGAGAUGGUUCUAUGGGAGGCAAAGGGAAUAUUUUCUUUUUCUUGAUAUCGAUUUGUUUCUAGUAGUAACAGAAAGAAGAAUUUUUUUUGCUACUCUUCCCUCCACUACCAAAGGGAGCGUUUUCAUUCUCUCUCUAUUGCACAACUAUGCUUUUUUACUUAUCCAAGCUAGAAUAACACUUAACAACAAUAAGGGUGAACCGAGGGGCCUUAUCCCAUGACUUUUGUGUCGCGGGACACUAGUCUUCCAUCAUGCUAAGCGAUGUGCUUUCUGUCCAUAGGUGUAUGAAUGUCAUUAAACACUGUGUUUGGACAUUUAGAUUCUAAUAUUUCCAAAAGUUUCAGCAGCAGAGUUCUUCGGGUGCACCUAUUCUUUUGGGGAAAUCCGAUUGAAAAAAAACAUCGGGAAGGAGAGGUUGAGACCAAUCCAAUUCAUUAGUUUCAAGCAUGAAAAAUAGGAGCACAACUUUGAGGCACACGAUCUUGCUAAGUCGGCUAAACCUCUACAGUCGCAAUCGGGUAGGUUCAUUUUGUUGCUCUCACCUCCAUAGACCUCUACAAUUCACAUAAACUUUUUGACAAAUUAAUGAACCUUCCCUUAGUAUAAAAAAAUGGCCACCCCGAUAAAAUGUGUUGCACAUGCCUCAGUUUUUUUACUUCAUGACUGGGGAAGAUGCUUGCGAUAUAUGAAUUUGAAUCUUUAAGGAAGUCUGUGCGUUAAAGGUUCCCUACUGUGAAUGAGCUUUCGAUUAUAAGCAUGUUAAAAACAUAUGAGGGUUAUUUCCAAUCUCGAGGAAUGAGAUAAGCAAUUAAUGCAAGUUGAUAGAUAGAAUUAAUUAAUUUGAAUUUUUCAAGUGUAAAAAAAUAGAAAUAUCACUAUCAAAAUAUUGUGCAUUUAGAAACAUAAUUAUAAGUUACCACUAGCCUCCUUCAUGUGCUCUGGAGAUGACCAAAAAUAUUCAUGUUCCAGUUAGUAAUCUGUAAUUAUCUAACAAAGGAGAAAGGGCAAUGAUUAUUUUUGUCUUUGUUUUCGAAUAUAAGAAACAAAACUUGUUUCUGUUAUUGGGAAUUGGGUAAAAGAAACAGUUAGGAUUGCUGAAAAUGAUUUCUUCAAUCAUUUGUCUUGAUCUGAUUGCUCAACUUCUCAUAAGUCUAGGUAUAGGUAAUGGAAAUAGAACAGUAAAUCUUCAUUUGUCCUUACAGAAGCCAUGCCCUCCAACUUUACCAAUGCAUCUUAUCAAUUUCCCCACCUACCUUCACAUGUCUAUACA